GUGUGUGAGUGUGUGGGUGUGUGAGUGGGUAUGUGAGUGUGUGAGUGGGUGUGUGAGUGGGUGUGUGUGAGUGUGUGGGUGUGAGGGUGUGUGAGUGGGUAUGUGAGUGUGUGAGUGUGUGUGUGAGUGGGUGUGUGUGUGUGAGUGUGUGGGUGUGUGAGCUGGUGUGUGAGUGUGGGUGGUCAGCAGCAGGCUGCUGAGCCUGCCCCUCUCUGCUGAGGCUGUGCAGGCCAGGCUUGAAACCCUGUGGGCUAGAAGGGGUAGGAGCAACCUUGGAGGCAGCAGCAGACAGGAGCUGGGAUCUGACGAAUGGUCGCAAGGUUGGGACUUCUGGCAGGCUAAAGAAAACAUCUUGACCGAAGUUACAUUUCAGCUCCCAAGCCCUAAGGUAGAAUGACUCUUGGGCUACUGUGGGGGUUAAAAAAAAUUAAUACUUUUCCUCCCACCUAUGUCUGUAUCUCAGGUAGGAAAACCGGAGGGUCAGUCUUUUGUUUCUUAAUAAACAGCUGAACAUCAAUACAGUGGGGCCUUGACUUACGAGUUUAAUUCGUUCCGUGACGGAGCUCGUAACUCAGAUUACGCGUAUGUCAAAUCAAAAGUGAACGAGCGAGACACGUGAUGCUGGGCUGAUGUUGUGGCGUUCACUGUGACGUUCGCUGCGCCCACUAGCGGUGGGGUAUCUGAAGCUGGCUCGUAACCCGAAUUUUAGCUCACAACUCAAAGCAAAAAAUCGGCCGAGAGACGGCUCGUAUCUCGAAAAACUCGUUAGUCGGGACACUCGUUAGUCAAGGCCCCACUGUAUCCCCAAAAUGCUGCUUAAGGAUGGCAACACUUUUGGUCCCUUCAGUUCCGCCUUUGAAACUUUAAACGAGUUUCCCCAUUCAGGAGCUAAAUUGGUAGGUGGCUCCAUAGUUCAUCGAUCCAAUAACUCAGUCCUUAGAAUAAGUUAGUUCAGUUCAGUUGCUGAGUGUGAAUUCAGGAGGCGGUGAUGCAGCUGGCCUCUGAAGUGAGGUCUGUGGUCUGUGUCCUGUCAGCAAGCAAGGAGGUAUUGAAUAAGGGGCGUGUCUAUUCAAACAAAAGAAAGAAACACACACAGAUCAAUCACCUGAAAACCAGUUUCUGAGCCUGUCAGACUCAGUGGAGAAGCUUUCUAAACACCUGGCUCAGAGCUUCUUUUUCUGGAAUGAAGGCAGCAGCGACAGUUGGAUAGCUUGUCCUGCUCCGCAGUUGGAAUGUCGCUGACGAUCUCACGGGUUCGCAGGUAGAUUAUCUGUGCGGCUUCGCGGAGUUAGUCACUGAGAUGGUUGAGCCAUGAGCUAUUGUGGUGAUGUCUCUGAAGUUGACGUCAUGUCUUCUCAGAAAAACCCCAAACAGUUUUAGCUCUCACUAAUUCCAAGUCAAAGACUGGGAGGAAAAAAACACAUUCGUUCAGAGGGUGGUAGCUACAUAUUUAAGAAAACUAGAAAGGUUCAGGAUCCAGUUUAUAGGUGAAAAAAUAAAACUUUAAUGACAGUCGACUGAACUAGAAUCUAACAUCCACGACUGUGAAUUAUACUGAAACACAAUUUCUCUCCCUAAAAUCAUCCUCAAUUUUAUCGAAGAUAGACAAAGUGAGACUAAUUUAUUGCAUAAGUCUAGUUUCAAUAAAUUUGGCCUGAUUAUUUGCAUAAACACAACAAGAAAAAAACCCCACAAUUGAUCAUAUAGGCUCUUUUUAAAUCUGCUUUUCUGGAAUUUCAUACAGCAUCUCCAGAUUGAACUUUGGCCUCUCAAGGCUAAGAAGCCAAGCACAUAUUGGCCACCGAUCUUAGCCUGCGACACCUAUAGAUUUGGGUAAAUUCCCAGGUUCCAUGUCUCCCAAAUGUUUUGAGGCCCUUUCUUUGCCAUCUCCCAGGAAAGCAACCUCUGCUACUCUCCUGGAAAGACUGCUGUCAACCAUGCAAGCUAGGUAGCAGGCUGUUUUCCCAAGAGGCUUUUAUUGGCUUCCAAAGUUAACCUUAAUUCUUUAAAGUUUCUGGUGACGUCUGAGUCUACACAUCUCUGUCAAGCAUGACAUUCCAGUCAAAGUCUUGGUUAAUGAAACCAGUUAUCAAUUGUGUCCCAUUAUAAAAGAACAGGUUCUUAUUGAAUUUAUGCAAACAAACAUAUGUCAUGAAAAUAAUAAUAUUCAUUUCCACGUUCAGGAGGGAAAAAAUAAAACUGUCUCAAUGCUGCUUACAACGGGAUAAUUUACCUAAUCGCUCUAAGAAAAACAAUCUCCCUUAUAUCUGGAAAACAAAAGAUUUUUAUUUAUUUAUUUUAAAAUAUAUUUUUAUUUAUUUCAGAGAGAAGAAGGGAGAAGGAGAGAGAAACAUCAAUGAUGAGAGAAUCAUUGAUCAGCUGCCUCCUGCACGCCCCUUACUGGGGAUGGAACCCGCAACCUGGGCAUGUGCCCUGACUGAGAAUCUAACCACGACCUCCUGGUUCAUGGGUUGACACUCAACCACUGAGCCACACCAGCCGGAUGCCACACCCAUUCUACAAAGGCUGGAAGCCCGAAUCUGACACUCCUGGCUGUGGACUCUGGCAAGUCACUACCCCCCUCGGAGCCUCUGUUUCCUCAUCUGUAAAAUGGGGAUAAGGAUACCCUUUCCACUGGGCUGCUGUGAGGACCCAAUGGGAUUUGAAAAGCCUUGGUAAAAGGUCCUAUACUACAGCCAGCUGUUCUGAUGGUUAUGGUCUUGGGGUGGGGAGCUGGGACUCUAAGCUCCUCUGAAGUUUAGGGAACUCACAAUCCCUUGAUCUUUCCGGGGGCGGGGGGCCGGGGGGAACCACUGGUUCUAGUCUGUUUCCUAAUACAAAGUUCCUUUCCAGAGGCCCCUAUCAGGCCGGAAAAACAGACAUUCUGGCUGGGGCUUAGUGUACAUAGCAACUAUCUGGCCCAUCUCCUCUUCCCCCACCAGGAGCAGGCCUCUUCCUCAAGGCCAAAUAAAGAGAGUGACUCAUGUCAGACCAGACCCGGUGGCUACAGGCUACAACCUUUGUGAAGGUCCGGCCACACCCUGCUUUCAUGACUCUGUUCGCCUCUUCUCCAUUGGGGACCUACCCACUUGCAGGCCUGCUUCACUAGUUUAAACAGCCUGAGGCCGGUCUUCCUAGUGGCUGGGGCUGCUCCUGGGGGCAGGGGGUGGGGUGAUAGGUGUGUGCGUGUGGGGUAACCUGUCCCUGUUCCUGGGUACGCUGGUGGAUAGAAGACAGUUUAUUGGGGACAUGGUCUCAGUGUCUGGGGACAAGUCUUCAUUUAGCCACAGGUGACCCAGAUGAUAAUGUGCAGAUCGGAGGGCUGAUAUUUCAUGGGGGAAACUGAGGCGUAGCGAUAGGGCAUGACUGGCCCAACUCCCUAACACUCUGUCAAUAGGUCAUAGGGCCUCUGUCCUGAGCCUGGGGGACUGCUCUGACCGAAGAACGGAAGGAACCAUGGGGACAGUUCUGUGGAGGGUGAGGCCCCUGGGGACAGUAAAUGGCUGAGGUGCUGGCAGUGCCCGGCAGGGUCUGGCAGGGGGCCUGGCCCUCCAUAGUGAUGAGAAAGGAGAUGGCAUGGUUGGGCUGCAUGUAGAGCUGGGUUAGGGCUGUGAGUGGAGAGGAGGGGCUCCUUCCUCUAUUAGCAAAACGUCAUUUUGUGGGCAUCCUGGCAGGGCCCUCUCAUCCACCCACCCACUAGGAUGAGAUUGUGAGGGGCAAGGAUUCAGCCUCUGACCCCGCCUGCAGCUGCUCACACGGAGAGAGGGAUUCCAUCCUAUUUUUUUCUUCUGGGUGGCAGUUGCUGAAUGUCUCAUGGGCAAGUUACUUGCCUCCCUGCGGCUAGGAUUCCCAUCAUGGAUCAUUCAUGGGGGUUGGAGGG
Molecule: long non-coding RNA, 3880 nt
Organism: Myotis daubentonii (Daubenton's bat)
Lineage: Eukaryota; Metazoa; Chordata; Mammalia; Chiroptera; Vespertilionidae
Source: RefSeq, a predicted model, not a curated record